This 484-nucleotide ribosomal RNA is filed under the name uncultured bacterium. RNAcentral describes it as "partial 16S ribosomal RNA". It matches the Rfam family "Bacterial small subunit ribosomal RNA", at positions 29 to 507 of the family's 1533-position model. The record is from RNAcentral.
AUUGAACGCUGGCGGCAUGCUUUACACAUGCAAGUCGAACGGCAGCGCGGGCUUCGGCCUGGCGGCGAGUGGCGAACGGGUGAGUAAUACAUCGGAACGUGCCCGGUAGGGGGGGAUAGCUCGGCGAAAGCCGGAUUAAUACCGCAUACGACCUGAGGGGGAAAGCGGGGGAUCUUCGGACCUCGCGCAAUUGGAGCGGCCGAUGGCGGAUUAGCUAGUUGGUGGGGUAAAGGCCUACCAAGGCGACGAUCGGUAGCUGGUCUGAGAGGACGACCAGCCACACUGGGACUGAGACACGGUCCAGACUCCUACGGGAGGCAGCAGUGGGGAAUUUUGGACAAUGGGCGAAAGCCUGAUCCAGCAAUGCCGCGUGUGUGAUGAAGGCCUUCGGGUUGUAAAGCACUUUUGGCGGGAACGAAAAGGACUGUGCCAAUACCACGGUUCGAUGACGUCACCCGCAGAAUAAGCACCGGCUAACUACGUG